UAAACUAGGAUUAGAUACCCUAUUAUUUUAAAUUUAAAUUUGAAAUACUAAAUUAGUAAUAGUUAUUUUCUUGAAAAUUAAAAAAUUUGGCGGUAUUUUAGUCUUUUCAGAGGAACCUGCCCUGUAAUUGAUAGUCCACGAUAAGAUUUACUUUAUUUUUUAGCUUAUAUAUCGUCGUAGUUUAAAUAUUUUAAGAGAAGUUUAAUAUUUGAAAUUUUUAAUUAAAAAAUAAAUCAGAUCAAGGUGUAGUUUAUAAUAAAGAAGAGGUGGGUUACAUUUAAUUUAUUAAAGGAUAAUUUUUAUUAAGAAAGUUUGAAUGUGGAUUUGAUAGUAAUUUUAAAUAUUUAUUUAUAAUGAUUAUAGCUCUAAAAUAUGCACACAUCGCCCGUCGCUCUUAA
This 398-nucleotide ribosomal RNA is filed under the name Acanthoscelides macrophthalmus. Its description in RNAcentral is "partial 12S small subunit ribosomal RNA". The record is from RNAcentral. Lineage: Eukaryota; Metazoa; Arthropoda; Insecta; Coleoptera; Chrysomelidae.